Long non-coding RNA from Acinonyx jubatus (cheetah), 1697 nucleotides. RefSeq lists it as uncharacterized. The transcript is spliced from 4 exons. Lineage: Eukaryota; Metazoa; Chordata; Mammalia; Carnivora; Felidae. The record is from RefSeq and is a predicted model, not a curated record.
AGGACGGCCUGGGGCGGGGCCUCGGCGGAGGGCGGGGCCACGGCGAAGCGCGAGGGCGGAUCCGUGGCGGCGCUGAGGCCGGCUUUUGGAGACCUCGUAUUGUCUCGCUCCGUUCCCCCCAGCCCCCUUUUGCAGACGAGCAAUGUCCCGAAGGUCCCAAAGUCAGUAUACUGCAGCAGUGAGAGCCGAGCUCGGUUCGUCUGAGAUAAUUUUCAGGAAAACGUGAAAUCCUAAUUCUCAUUCGGGUUUUAAGUAGGGAGAAGUGAUAAAGGCUUUAUUUCUACUCGUUAAUCAGAGAAGCAAGCAGCCAGACGUUAAAACCAGUUCAAAGAGAAUAGAAAAGGAGACCCGUUUAUAGAUGAGGCGCAUUGAAAUGAACAUACUUUGAACUUGAUGAGGCCCCAAGCGUCCAUAAACCUGGAGCACGGCGUGAUGAUUCAAGCUGUGGAAUUUGAGCCCGGGGCCACACUGCCGGGAGGACAGGCCAUCGUGGAGCAGGGGACAGCGAUCCACGGGGAGGACAGAGAUUGCAAAGUGCUGGGGAGUUCGCCAGGAGAAGGGGGAGCAGGGCCACAAAAGUCACUCCAGCUGUGAUCAGGUAAAAACAGGGGGGUCGAGUUGCGAGCGGUGAUCACGUGCGCAUUGUCAUACUUUACCCUCGCUAAUGAGCUGGUCCAAAGGGGCUCUCGCGUUGACACGCUUCCAUGCACCCGCUGGGUGUUUGUUCCUGAGCCAUGAACUUCUAGAUCGUAAGUGUCGUGUACAUCCCGGGCUGCCCUGGUGUUUGCUUCUCAGAGGGCAAGAAGCAGCAGGCUGUCCAUAGACUGAGACUUUGUAUCGUCUGAAUAAUACUGCGUAGUUCUCCACACAGACAUCCUACACACCUACUGAUAGAUUUGCUCCUGUAGGUAAAUGGCAGGUGGAAGUGGCAUUUUGGAUGGGUUACGGGUGGCUGCAAAUUCACUGCCUCUCCUCCCAACAAAGGAGGGAGUCUAUCACCCACUCCUUCUCUGGGCUGACCGGUGGUUAAGUAGCUGUGGGAGGGCUUCUCGGUCUAGGUCUCCAGAGGUCUUGGAGAUUCCGCGCCUGCCCUCUCGGCCCCUGUGCUGAGAGCACCGUGCUGAGAGGUGCUGAGAGCACCUCACUCACGUGAGGCUGACAGCCACCCUGCCAUCCUGAGGCCCACAGAAGCGCCCAGCCAACCUGCAGACUCAUGAGAAAAACGAAGUGUGCGUCUUUCAGGAUACUGAGUUUUUUAGGUGGUUUGUUAUCUUACGAUGGAUAAUGCCUCCAGCAUUUUUAUUCAGAGAGCAGGGGGAGGGGCAGAGGGAGAGGAAGAGAGAAUCCCAAGCAGGCUCAACACUGGCAGCAUAGAACCUAACGCGGGGCUCGAUCUCACAAACUGUGAGAUCGUGACCUGAGCGGAAAUCAAGAGUCAGACGCUCACCCAACGAAGCCACCCGGGCGCCCUCAUUUACUUUUUUAAAAUAUUUAUUGGGGCGCCUGGGUGGUUCAGCCAGUUAAGUGUCCAACCUCACCUCAGGUCAUGAUCUCGCGAUUCAUGAGUUCGAGCCCCACGUUGGGCUCUCUGCUGUCCGCACAGAGCCCGCUUCAGACCCUCUGUCUCCCUCUCUUUGUUGUACUUCCUUCACUCAUGCUCGUGCACUCGCUCUCGCUCUCUCUCUCAAAAAUAAACA